Molecule: ribosomal RNA, 253 nt
Filed under: uncultured bacterium
Lineage: Bacteria
Description: partial 16S ribosomal RNA
Rfam family: Bacterial small subunit ribosomal RNA
Source: RNAcentral
UACGGAGGGCGCGAGCGUUAAUCGGAAUUACUGGGCAUAAAGCGCGCGUAGGCUGUUGUGUAAGUUGGGGGUGAAAUCCCACGGCUCAACCGUGGAACAGCCCUUGAUACUGCGCGACUUGAAUCCGGGAGAGGGUGGCGGAAUUCCAGGUGUAGGAGUGAAAUCCGUAGAUAUCUGGAGGAACAUCAGUGGCGAAGGCGGCCACCUGGACCGGUAUUGACGCUGAGGCACGAAAGCGUGGGGAGCAAACAGG